Non-coding RNA from Pseudonaja textilis, 3752 nucleotides. The record is from RefSeq and is a predicted model, not a curated record. NCBI's taxonomy places the organism in Eukaryota, Metazoa, Chordata, Lepidosauria, Squamata, Elapidae.
CAUCCAUUGGGAUAUUGUGAAAGAAUCAGGUUCAGAGAUGAAUAACGUUUGAAGCGAUGCAAACGGCUUCUUCGUGAAACGUUUCGCACCCCUUCUUAAUAUGUGGUUUGGGGCUGUGCAGUAUAGGUGUGUCUUUGUAGUAGCUCUGAAAAAAAGAAGAGACGAUAACCGCACUGUAUGGUAUCUGCAACCAACAGUUGUUCCUGAUGGCUUGUUCAAAAAACAGUGCGAGAUCAGUUCAGCAUGUGGCAUCGUUGGUUCUCAAGCUGCCGUGCUUGUGCAACCUGGUAUCUUUGUUGAGACAAGUAGGAACAGUGAAAAGGGUGGGUUGAGGCGAAAAGUUCAUCCGUGUUGCACUAAAAGGAAAUUCAACAUUUUUGUUCUGACCCAGCUCCCAAACAUGACAAGCCCUUUGUAGUAAACAAAACAUCCCCUUUAUUAGGAGCAUCAGCAGCUGUUCUCUCACAGCAGGCUACCAAGUCGCCCAAGUCCUAUGGAAAGUGGCCCUCGCUUCCUUUCCCCCUGAACUGGCCUAACACACCAGGAAUCUCUUCCCAUACUUACAAAGGAAGUCCUGGAAGGUGAAUUUGCUUUCUUCCAGCAGCAGACACACACACGCUGCAGAUUGCAAGAAUUCGGAAAAAUCCCGACAAGGAGCAACUAAAAGCAAGCUGUGGUUAUUGGAGCAAAUCUUUUGAAGGAUUCCAAAGUAUGCAUCUAUGGUUGAUGAUGGAUCUCAAGCUGCCGUGCUGUUGAUCCAUGGUGGAAGAUCCCAGAUGCACAUUUCAGACUAAACAAAUGCCAGCACACCAUAGAGAACUUCAAAGAACAACUAGCACAGACCACACCAGAGCAGGUAGAAAGUCUGAGAAACCCACGGUCAAGACUGCUUCCCCAAGACAAGCUGGAGAAAGGGAAGCCAAACUAAACUGCCGAAUCAAAGAGGAAUGGCUGGUCCAGGCCACCCGCUAUCUAUUGCAGAAGCCAACAUCCUACACUAAGGCUUAAACGACAACCCAGGGGAUGCCAGUCAACUAGAAUUCUUUGCCAGACUUAGAAGGAGCAUUUAUAAAACUACAGGAUUCCUCACAGAGACACCCUCCCCCCCACAAAAAAAAAAAACCAUCAGAAAGAAGAUACGAACAAAACCAACUCUGAGCAGAAGAUUGAGCAGCUCUCAAAAACGGUGCCAAAUUAUCAUCAUCCUUCCAGAAGAUGAACGUUGAAACGAGGGUUACAUGACUACUUCAAAAUAUAUACAAAAAGCAAAAGAAUGAUUAAAAGACAAACUUACAUCUUGGCAAACACCUGUCCGAUAGAAAAAAAACGAAUCAUCUGGAUCAAGGGAACGCUCAGCAACCUCACCAAGAAAUCACCAAAGAAGACCAGUGGCGAAUGAAAAGUAGUGGACCCCUCCUCUUACACUUCUGUGGAUGCCCCAGAGUUUGUUGGCCAGGCAUGCUUUUGUUUGUUCAGUUGUAUCAUUACCAGGAAGCUCAAUCUACAACAUGGCUAAAGGAUUGAUUGAAAGGCUCAGAUACCUCCCAGAGUGAACCAGAUAUUCCCAACAACUGCUCACCACAGUGCCUCCAAAUAAUCAAAGACACACACACACAGGUGAAGACAAAAUCCCUGUCAUUUGAUGUCACAGCUCUUCUUUACAUUGAUGGAUCCAAAAUUAGCCAAUAAUCCAUGACAGUGCUCACCUCAAAAAAUACACCCAAAAUUGAAAUAAUCAGGAAUGUGGAUCGCGUCAAUCUUUUGCCUAACCAGGUACUUUUAGUUCGGAUGACACGUAUAUCAACAGAUCAGAGGAACCCCCUGCAGGAUGUCCACUUUCAGAAGUAAUAGCAGAGACCAUAAUCCAACCCCUGAUAUCGCUAGCACGCCCAUACGUGCAACCCAAAAUAUAGAUUGGGUACGUAGGCGACACCUUUGUCAUGAUUUAAAAGGGCCAGCUGGGGACCAUCCAAGGACCCUCCCAUCAUUUUCAAGGAGUUAAAUUCACCAGGGAAGGGGGAGAAAGCCACACUACCUUUCAUGGAUAUCUUCGUUCCAGAGGCAGGAAUGGCAAAUUAGAAAUACACGUCUGUUGUAAAGCCACUACACUGAUCCAACAACAAACCCAACAACCACAUGGGGUCAUUGCAGCACACCAACUGACCAAAGCCCUCCAAAACAAGUAAACUGAAGGACUUGGCAGCCCCAGAAGAAAAAAUGGGAAUCAUCUACAACAUAUAUUGCAAGGCCCAUAACAGCCACUCCGGAUAAACAGGCAGAAGUCUAGCAGUUCAUGUCCAUAAAUGCCAAUUAGCAGUCUGAAGACUCCUCACCAUCAGUGAACAUCCUGAUGAACACAGAACACCAAGAUUAACAUUAGACCAACCAUCAAGAAGCAAACAAUGCCCCCAGUCAAGGAACAUGACGGACAAGCUGACAGCAGCCUACCAAGGCCCCUCCUACCAACUCUGAUAACGCAAGGCACUCUAGAAUAUAAAAUGAGAACAAGCCCUACGCCAACUGAUGACGUCACCUAGUUUGGUAAUGAGAUAUCUGCCAGAAAACCAUGAAGCUUGGAAAGCAUCAAGGGCUCCACCGUUGAACCCUGAGCUACAGAUAUUCUCUUCCGUCGACAUCUAUGGCUGAUUUGUUAGUAGCCUUUAACAGGAUGAAAAGGCAACAGAGUUUGAUCAACGAUUGGAACCAGAUACAACAGAAUUGUAUCACAAGCACCACCACUCGAACUUGGAGAAAGCAACAACUCUUACUAUUGGUGAUUAUGAUCCUGAAAGUAAUCUUCCUGACUGCUGGACAUGCAACAGUAUAACAAUUUUAAAGAGAAACAUAGGUUGCAAGUAUUGUACAAAACAUGACUUCACAAAAGAGAAAGUCCUGUUAUUCUUCCGGAUAUGUCAGUAGCUCUAAAAACUUGGUCGCCGCUGCUCUUGCGGAGCGGAAAUCCUGCUCCACCCCUUCUUUUGAGUCCCACUUUCACUCUGGGACCCUGUUCCUACAGUCAUAAAAUGGUUGAGAACACAUCACACAGCCAACGAUGCUUGAGUAAAAGUGAAAAAAAGUGCAAGUGAGUUCGCCAAUCAAACAUCGAUUUGGAAAUACCUUAAAGACAAAUAGCACUUUUAUUGUUCUUAUGUCAUUAGGGCAAGGAAGUGAUGUCGACUUGACCAUGCCAUCCAAUCACCUGACAGCCAAGCCACGCCCACAGUCACAUGACAAUCGAGCCACGCCCACUGAGCCACACUCACAGAACCGGUGGGGGGACGUGACAUCAGUCGUGCUGACUCUUCUGAAAAGGUGUCCGUGAAAAGAUUAAUAACUCAAGAGAUUUAAGAUCCACUUGCCGUAACUUGAUGCUUAACCACAUUUUUACUGUUUGCAACAGAGAGCUUUUACCGAAAUACCAAGGAAAUCUCGGUGGGAACCUGCAAAGUUGGAUGAAAGUGGACUUCGAGCCAAAGGUUGCUGGCUCUUGAAGAAUGCCAAGAGGAAGAAGACAUGGAACAGAAUGGUCUCUGCCCAAUAUUGGGGCAUUAAGUAGUAUUUGAAUAAUUGUGGAAUCCACUGAUUAGCCUACAAAACCUUGUUGUGUUUCUUGCAAGCAGCCAUGUUCCUGUGUGUUUCUAAUUGUUAAAACAGAUACUUGUUUGAAUAAUCUAGCUGUUUCCAACUGCAUUUGCUGCUGCUGUUUUGCUGUACUGUGGUUAAUGAUAGCUUACUUAAUAAACCAGACUGGG